This 458-nucleotide ribosomal RNA is filed under the name uncultured bacterium. RNAcentral's name for it is "partial 16S ribosomal RNA". It matches the Rfam family "Bacterial small subunit ribosomal RNA", at positions 338 to 795 of the family's 1533-position model. The record is from RNAcentral.
CCUACGGGGGGCAGCAGUGAGGAAUAUUGGUCAAUGGGCGAGAGCCUGAACCAGCCAAGUCGCGUGAGGGAGUACUGCCCUAUGGGUUGUAAACCUCUUUUGUCGGGGAGCAAAAGCCGGACGUGUCCGGCUUUGAGAGUACCCGAAGAAAAAGCAUCGGCUACCUCCGUGCCAGCAGCCGCGGUAAUACGGAGGAUGCGGGCGUUAUCCGGAUUUAUUGGGUUUAAAGGGUGCGCAGGCGGAUUGUUAAGUCCGCGGUCAAAUCGUGGGGCUCAACCCCAUCCAGCCGUGGAAACUGGGGAACUAGAGUGAGCGAGAGGUAUGCGGAAUGCGUAGUGUAGCGGUGAAAUGCAUAGAUAUCACGCAGAACCCCGAUUGCGAAGGCAGCAUACCGGUGCACAACUGACGCUCAGGCACGAAAGCGUGGGUAGCGAACAGGAUUAGAUACCCUUGUAGUC